This 460-nucleotide ribosomal RNA is filed under the name uncultured bacterium. Its description in RNAcentral is "partial 16S ribosomal RNA". It matches the Rfam family "Bacterial small subunit ribosomal RNA", at positions 338 to 795 of the family's 1533-position model. The record is from RNAcentral.
CCUACGGGAGGCAGCAGUGAGGAAUAUUGGUCAAUGGGCGCGAGCCUGAACCAGCCAAGUAGCGUGAAGGAUGACUGCCCUACGGGUUGUAAACUUCUUUUAUAAAGGAAUAAAGUGAGGCACGUGUGCCUUUUUGUAUGUACUUUAUGAAUAAGGCUCGGCUAACUCCGUGCCAGCAGCCGCGGUAAUACGGAGGAUCCGAGCGUUAUCCGGAUUUAUUGGGUUUAAAGGGAGCGUAGAUGGGUUGUUAAGUCAGUUGUGAAAGUUUGCGGCGCAACCGUAAAAUUGCAAUUGAUACUGGCUGUCUUGAGUACAGGUGAGGUAGGCGGAAUUCGUGGUGUAGCGGUGAAAUGCUUAGAUAUCACGAAGAACUCCGAUUGCGAAGGCAGCUUACUAAACUGCCACUGACAUUGAUGCUCGAAAGUGUGGGUAUCAAACAGGAUUAGAUACCCCAGUAGUC